UUUUGUGGGGUGCUCGAGUGGCGAACGGGUGAGUAACACGUGAGUAACCUGCCCUUGACUUUGGGAUAACCUCAGGAAACUGGGGCUAAUACCGGAUAGGAGCUCCUGCUGCAUGGUGGGGGUUGGAAAGUUUCGGCGGUUGGGGAUGGACUCGCGGCUUAUCAGCUUGUUGGUGGGGUAGUGGCUUACCAAGGCUUUGACGGGUAGCCGGCCUGAGAGGGUGACCGGCCACAUUGGGACUGAGGUACGGCCCAG
RNAcentral lists this ribosomal RNA (255 nucleotides) under uncultured Actinomycetales bacterium. RNAcentral describes it as "partial 16S ribosomal RNA". It matches the Rfam family "Bacterial small subunit ribosomal RNA", at positions 78 to 334 of the family's 1533-position model. The record is from RNAcentral. Lineage: Bacteria; Bacillati; Actinomycetota; Actinomycetes; Actinomycetales.